Molecule: ribosomal RNA, 519 nt
Filed under: uncultured eukaryote
Lineage: Eukaryota
Description: SSU rRNA
Rfam family: Eukaryotic small subunit ribosomal RNA
Source: RNAcentral
AGGGCACCACCAGGAGUGGAGCCUGCGGCUUAAUUUGACUCAACACGGGAAAACUCACCCGGCCCGGACACUGGAAGGAUUGACAGAUUGAGAGCUCUUUCUUGAUUCAGUGGGUGGUGGUGCAUGGCCGUUCUUAGUUGGUGGAGUGAUUUGUCUGGUUAAUUCCGAUAACGAACGAGACUCUAGCCUACUAAAUAGAUCGUCGGCUUACAAACGCCGGCGAGACUUCUUAGAGGGACAGGCGGUGAUUCAACCGCACGAAACAGGGCAAUAACAGGUCUGUGAUGCCCUUAGAUGUCCGGGGCCGCACGCGCGCUACACUGAAGUGAUCAGCGUGCUUUUUCAACCUACUCUGUCAAGAGUGGGGAACCCAAUGAACCUUCUUCGUGAUUGGGAUAGGGGAUUGUAAUUAUUCCCCUUGAACGAGGAAUUCCCAGUAAGCGCGAGUCAUAAGCUCGCGUUGAUUACGUCCCUGCCCUUUGUACACACCGCCCGUCGCUACUACCGAUUGAAUGUUUU